GGCGACUUAGCCAAGUGGUAAGGCAGCGGUCUGCAAAACCGCCAUCCCGGGUUCGAUUCCCGGAGUCGCCUCCA
This 74-nucleotide transfer RNA is filed under the name Candidatus Dormiibacterota bacterium. RNAcentral describes it as "tRNA-Cys". It matches the Rfam family "tRNA". From Rfam's summary of the family: Transfer RNA (tRNA) molecules are approximately 80 nucleotides in length. Their secondary structure includes four short double-helical elements and three loops (D, anti-codon, and T loops). Lineage: Bacteria; Bacillati; Candidatus Dormiibacterota. The record is from RNAcentral.